AGGGGUUUAAGUUAACUAAACUAAUAGCCUUCAAAGCUUUAAAUGAUCUAUCAAUCAACCCCUAC
Molecule: transfer RNA, 65 nt
Filed under: Cuneopsis celtiformis
Lineage: Eukaryota; Metazoa; Mollusca; Bivalvia; Unionida; Unionidae
Description: tRNA-Trp
Source: RNAcentral